AGAAUCAACGCUGGCGGCGUGCCUAACACAUGCAAGUCGAACGAGAAAGUGGAGCAAUCCAUGAGUAAAGUGGCGACCGGGUGAGUAACACGUGACUAACCUACCUUCGGAGUGGGGGAUAACAUCGGGAAACCGAUGCUAAUACCGCGAUAACAUCGCAAGAUCAAAGCAGCAAUGCGCUUGAAGAGGGGGUCGCGGCUGAUUAGCUAGUUGGCGGGUAAUGGCCCACCAAGGCGAAGAUCGGUAUCCGGCCUGAGAGGGCGCACGGACACACUGGAACUGAAACACGGUCCAGACUCCUACGGGAGGCAGCAGUGGGGAAUUUUGCGCAAUGGGGGAAACCCUGACGCAGCAACGCCGCGUGGAGGAUGAAGCCCCUUGGGGCGUAAACUCCUUUCGACCAAGACGAUAAUGACGGUACUGGUGGAAGAAGCACCGGCUAACUCUGCGCCAGCAGCCGC
This 461-nucleotide ribosomal RNA is filed under the name uncultured bacterium. RNAcentral's name for it is "SSU rRNA". It matches the Rfam family "Bacterial small subunit ribosomal RNA", at positions 26 to 518 of the family's 1533-position model. The record is from RNAcentral.